UAGGGAAUUUUCCACAAUGGACGAAAGUCUGAUGGAGCAACGCCGCGUGUGCGAAGAAGGUUUUCGGAUUGUAAAGCACUGUUGUAAGGGAAGAAUAAGGUAAACAGGAAAUGGUUUAUUGAUGACGGUACCUUACCAGAAAGCCACGGCUAACUACGUGCCAGCAGCCGCGGUAAUACGUAGGUGGCAAGCGUUGUCCGGAAUUAUUGGGCGUAAAGGGCGUGUAGGCGGGAUAAUAAGUCUGAUGGG
RNAcentral lists this ribosomal RNA (249 nucleotides) under uncultured Mycoplasmatota bacterium. RNAcentral describes it as "uncultured Tenericutes bacterium partial 16S ribosomal RNA". It matches the Rfam family "Bacterial small subunit ribosomal RNA", at positions 355 to 596 of the family's 1533-position model. The record is from RNAcentral. Lineage: Bacteria; Bacillati; Mycoplasmatota.